UACGUAGGGGGCAAGCGUUGUCCGGAAUUAUUGGGCGUAAAGCGCGCGCAGGCGGUUUAUUAAGUCUGGUGUUUAAGCCCAGGGCUCAACCCUGGUUCGCACUGGAAACUGGUAGACUAGAGUGUAGGAGAGGAAAGUGGAAUUCCACGUGUAGCGGUGAAAUGCGUAGAGAUCGUAAGGAAGACCAGUGGCGAAGGCGGGUCUCUGGACAGUUCCUGACACUGAGGCACGAAGGCCAGGGGAGCAAACGGG
RNAcentral lists this ribosomal RNA (252 nucleotides) under uncultured bacterium. RNAcentral describes it as "partial 16S ribosomal RNA". It matches the Rfam family "Bacterial small subunit ribosomal RNA", at positions 524 to 776 of the family's 1533-position model. The record is from RNAcentral.